Eptesicus fuscus (big brown bat) is the source of this 643-nucleotide RNA transcript. It is a transcript of the gene named histone H2B type 2-F, with no coding region annotated. The record is from RefSeq and is a predicted model, not a curated record. The transcript is spliced from 2 exons. Lineage: Eukaryota; Metazoa; Chordata; Mammalia; Chiroptera; Vespertilionidae.
CCGAGUCUUCAUUUGCAUAUAGGCCCUAUAAGUAGCUCACAACCAACUCGGUUGUAGUCGCGGUUGGUUCAAUUCGUGAGUGGUUUCUCCUUCCGAAGAUGCCGGAUCCAGCGAAGUCCGCUCCUGUUCCCAAGAAGGGGUCCAAGAAAGCUGUGACGAAAGUGCAGAAGAAGGAUGGGAAGAAGCGCAAGCGCAGCCGCAAGGAGAGCUACUCCGUUUACGUGUACAAAGUGCUGAAACAAGUUCACCCGGACACCGGCAUCUCGUCCAAGGCCAUGGGCAUCAUGAACUCCUUCGUCAACGACAUCUUCGAGCGCAUCGCUGGCGAGGCCUCCCGCCUGGCGCAUUACAACAAGCGCUCGACCAUCACCUCCCGGGAGAUCCAGACGGCUGUGCGCCUGCUGCUGCCCGGCGAGCUGGCCAAGCACGCGGUGUCUGAAGGCACCAAGGCCGUCACCAAGUACACCAGCUCCAAGUAAGGGCGCCCAGGAAACGCGAUAGAACAACCACUUUACCCCAAAGGCUCUUUUCAGAGCCACUUCAGGUGUUGGAGAAGCAGCUGUAAGCACUUGUUGCGAGGUAAGCUCGCUGGGUCUCACUCGUGUGUAUGGACGGAAAGGUCUACUCUCCACUGUUUUAGUUG